Non-coding RNA from Acanthosepion pharaonis, 113 nucleotides. The record is from the annotation of a GenBank genome assembly. Lineage: Eukaryota; Metazoa; Mollusca; Cephalopoda; Sepiida; Sepiidae.
UAUGGCCAUCUCAUGUUGAAACACUGGUUCCUGUAUGAUUACCAAAGUUAAGCAAUGUUGAGCCUGGUCAGUACCUAGAAAAGUGACCACUUGGGAAUACCAGGUACUGUAAG